Molecule: non-coding RNA, 103 nt
Organism: Spinacia oleracea (spinach)
Lineage: Eukaryota; Viridiplantae; Streptophyta; Magnoliopsida; Caryophyllales; Amaranthaceae
Source: Rfam
AUCCCAUGGUGAGCGAAUUCCCUUUGGUAUUCCUUGAAUCGGCCCCAAGCUUCAAAAAGUGACUCAUCCCGCUUUUGCUCAAAGGAUUGGAUUUUGUGACGAU